Molecule: ribosomal RNA, 472 nt
Filed under: uncultured Glomus
Lineage: Eukaryota; Fungi; Glomeromycota; Glomeromycetes; Glomerales; Glomeraceae
Description: SSU rRNA
Rfam family: Eukaryotic small subunit ribosomal RNA
Source: RNAcentral
AGCAGCCGCGGUAAUUCCAGCUCCAAUAGCGUAUAUUAAAGUUGCUGCAGUUAAAAAGCUCGUAGUUGAAUUUCGGGAUCAAUAUGUUGGUCGUGCCUCGGUACGUACUAGCUUAUUGGUUUCUUCCUUCUGACGAACCAUAAUGUCAUUUAUUUGGUGUUAUGGGGAAUCAGGACUGUUACUUUGAAAAAUUAGAGUGUUUAAAGCAGGCUCACGCUUGAAUACAUCAGCAUGGAAUAAUGAAAUAGGACGUUUGAUUCUAUUUUGUUGGUUUCUAGGAUCGACGUAAUGAUUAAUAGGGAUAGUUGGGGGCAUUAGUAUUCAAUUGUCAGAGGUGAAAUUCUUGGAUUUAUUGAAGACUAACUACUGCGAAAGCAUUUGCCAAGGAUGUUUUCAUUAAUUAAGAACGAAAGUUAGGGGAUCGAAGACGAUCAGAUACCGUCGUAGUCUUAACCAUAAACUAUGCCGACUA